CACCCCUUCUCACCCACUCUCCCGGCCAUAGCUGCAUGACCCUCCUGCCUCUGCGAAUGUUCAGGUUUGCUGAGGAGCCACUUCCUGUCUCAUGGCACACUGCAGUCCAUACUGCCUCUUCUUCUGGGCGGUGGGCUUUGAACAGCUCUGGGAGUUGGCAUGGUUCUGAAGAAAGGCAGUGUGGUCUCUUCAUCAGCUUCAAAAAACCAUCACCACCUGCCAACAUCUGCUUAGUUUCCAUGGUGAUAAGAGCAUCUUCAACAAUCCUAAGUCCUCAGUCAAAUGUCCUGGGACAAACUGCAUGGGCACCCACUAAAGCCACUAUGCUCAGAGCUGAUGCCUGCACCAGGCAGUCAUCUGAGAGUGACACUGCUGAACAGGGGACAGACCAACCGCUUCAAGUUCCUGCCGCCUCGACCUUUCCUGCCGCCUCGACCUUUCUGACCUGAUUGAUGUCCCCUCGAGCUGUGGGCCAAAACAAGUCCUUUCUCCUUCAAGUUUUUUCCACCAGAGCCUUUUUUAUCACAUGAGUCUACCGCCUUAAAGAGAAGCCAGAGACGGAG
Long non-coding RNA from Mus musculus (house mouse), 563 nucleotides. RefSeq annotates it as predicted gene, 41566. The record is from RefSeq and is a predicted model, not a curated record. The transcript has 3 exons. Lineage: Eukaryota; Metazoa; Chordata; Mammalia; Rodentia; Muridae.